CUCAGCGGUUGGCGUACUUCUCCCUGGCGGGCGGAGUAAUCACGCAUAGCUGUCAUCAGACGCUGCAAGAUUUCCGAAGCCCGCAUAAUGCGGGCUUUUUUGU
Molecule: regulatory RNA element, 103 nt
Organism: Rahnella aquatilis
Lineage: Bacteria; Pseudomonadati; Pseudomonadota; Gammaproteobacteria; Enterobacterales; Yersiniaceae
Rfam family: Tryptophan operon leader
About the family: At least 6 amino acid operons are known to be regulated by attenuation. In each a leader sequence of 150-200 bp is found upstream of the first gene in the operon. This leader sequence can assume two different secondary structures known as the terminator and the anti-terminator structure.
Source: Rfam